GAACUCCUGUCUGAUUUCCGAGAGAUACAGAAAAGAGAAAGUGAGAGAGAGAGCAAGAGAAAAAAAAAUCCCCAUGAAUUUGUAAAUAAAAGCUAAUACAUUGUGUGUACUUCGAUGAAUGUGAGUAUGAAGUAGAAUGGAGGAAUCAAAUAUUUUCCCCUGCUUAUCAAAAAUUUUAGCAACAUACCAAACUUUUCAAACACGAAACUCUCAGAAGGAUUGUGGCCUUUGUAAGAAGAGGAUCUGUUAGGCUAUAUUUGAAACCAGUAAAAAUAACCCCAUAAGUAUAGCAGUGUAGGCCUUCAACCAGAAUCAGUUCUCUUGGGAGAUUAAUUUGCAUUGUAAUUUAAGAAAAAAAAGAAGGCCUUUCUAAGUCUUACAAAGUCACAUCUCUGACUCUCAUGGUAUGAAGAUUUGCAAACAGCUCCAUGGUUUUCUCUCUGUUUGGCGGCUUUCCUUUUUACAUGUGCCAGGCCACAUCUCAGACUUAUCCUGAUGGCUCCAACCAGACAUUCUGAUAUCAGGAGUAACUACCAUGAGAUGCUUGUUCUAGGUCCAUAGGCACUGCAUCUGUGUAAUACAAAUGGACCAAAACAGAAUGCUUAUACUCUCAGUACACACUGAAUAGGACUUGAAAAUCAAUCUGCAUGGAUUUGCCACCAACAAAAAGCAGCCUUGGUGGAGAAUGAUGACAUGGACUGGAAGGAGCACGCCAUUGAGUGAGCAAUCUGAACAUUGGAGCUGGUACAGUUUAUCUUAAAAAUUGAGCUAUCUCAACUAUUGCUCCUCUCUUUCUUCUCUUGGACCAGUGUCACCCUAUCAAUGCUCAUUUUUAAUAAGGAGUUUCCUAUAAAUCUACAGACACUGUAAAACCA
This is a long non-coding RNA of Mastomys coucha (southern multimammate mouse), 875 nucleotides long. RefSeq lists it as uncharacterized. Lineage: Eukaryota; Metazoa; Chordata; Mammalia; Rodentia; Muridae. The transcript is spliced from 6 exons. The record is from RefSeq and is a predicted model, not a curated record.